Molecule: ribosomal RNA, 253 nt
Filed under: uncultured bacterium
Lineage: Bacteria
Description: partial 16S ribosomal RNA
Rfam family: Bacterial small subunit ribosomal RNA
Source: RNAcentral
UACAGAGGUCCCAAGCGUUGUUCGGAUUCAUUGGGCGUAAAGGGUGCGUAGGCCGCGCCAUAAGUCGGAUGUGAAAUCUCGGGGCUCAACCCUGAAACUGCAUUCGAUACUGUGGUGCUAGAGGACUGGAGAGGAAACUGGAAUUCACGGUGUAGCAGUGAAAUGCGUAGAUAUCGUGAGGAAGACCUGUGGCGAAGGCGGGUUUCUGGACAGUACCUGACGCUGAGGCACGAAGGCCAGGGGAGCAAACGGG